RNAcentral lists this ribosomal RNA (465 nucleotides) under uncultured bacterium. RNAcentral describes it as "partial 16S ribosomal RNA". It matches the Rfam family "Bacterial small subunit ribosomal RNA", at positions 28 to 507 of the family's 1533-position model. The record is from RNAcentral.
GAUGAACGCUGGCGGCGUGCUUAACACAUGCAAGUCGAACAGAAAGGCUCCUGCUUGCAGGGGUACUCGAGUGGCGAACGGGUGAGUAACACGUGGGUGAUCUGCCCUGCACUUCGGGAUAAGCCUGGGAAACUGGGUCUAAUACCGGAUAGGACGAUGGUUUGGAUGCCAUUGUGGAAAGUUUUUCGGUGUGGGAUGAGCUCGCGGUCUAUCAGCUUGUUGGUGGGGUAAUGGCCUACCAAGGCGUCGACGGGUAGCCGGCCUGAGAGGGUGUACGGCCACAUUGGGACUGAGGUACGGACCAGACUCCAACGGGAGGCAGCAGUGGGAAAUAUUGCACAAUGGGCGCAAGCCUGAUGCAGCGGCGCCGCGUGGGGGAUGACGGCCUUCGGGUUAUAAACUCCUUUCGCUAGGGACGAAGCGCAAGUGACGGUACCUGGAGAAGAAGCACCGGCUAACUACGUG